AACGAACGCUGGCGGCGUGCUUAACACAUGCAAGUCGAACGAGAAAGUUUCCUUCGGGAAACGAGUAGAGUGGCGCACGGGUGAGUAACGCGUAGGUAAUCUACCCUUAUAACUGGGAUAACAUUGGGAAACUGGUGCUAAUACCGGAUACACUUUUUUACCGCGGGGUAAAAGAGGAAAGGUGGCCUCUUCAUGAAAGCUACCGUAUAGGGAUGAGCCUGCGUACCAUUAGCUAGUAGGCGGGGUAACGGCCCACCUAGGCUACGAUGGUUAGCGGGUCUGAGAGGAUGAUCCGCCACACUGGAACUGGAACACGGACCAGACUCCUACGGGAGGCAGCAGUGAGGAAUAUUGCGCAAUGGGCGAAAGCCUGACGCAGCCACGCCGCGUGAAGGAUGACACCCCUCUGGGGCGUAAACUUCUUUUAUGUGAGAAGAAGGUCUUGGUCUCCAAGGCUUGACGGUAUCACAUGAAUAAGCACCGGCUAACUCCGUG
This 495-nucleotide ribosomal RNA is filed under the name uncultured delta proteobacterium. Its description in RNAcentral is "bacterial SSU rRNA". It matches the Rfam family "Bacterial small subunit ribosomal RNA", at positions 29 to 507 of the family's 1533-position model. Lineage: Bacteria; Deltaproteobacteria. The record is from RNAcentral.